UUGCUAGCUUUUCUUUGCUUUAUCUAUAGAUUGUUGAUAUAGGAGGACUUAGAGAGAGGGAUUCACGAUGGCGAGCCACAGGGCAAGCUUUCCCCUACGGCUCCAGCAGAUCUUGUCAGGUGGGAGGCAUGUCUCUUGUGAGUUCUCUCUCUACAUUUUAAUCCCCUAUCUUGAUCUAGUUGCAAAGUUGUUCCUUUUUCUAUUGGUUUUAUGUAUUAGUUUUGGGUGAUU
RNAcentral lists this long non-coding RNA (231 nucleotides) under Elaeis guineensis (African oil palm). Its description in RNAcentral is "long non-coding RNA (EGUI_LNC002846)". The record is from RNAcentral. Lineage: Eukaryota; Viridiplantae; Streptophyta; Magnoliopsida; Arecales; Arecaceae.